This 458-nucleotide ribosomal RNA is filed under the name uncultured bacterium. RNAcentral's name for it is "partial 16S ribosomal RNA". It matches the Rfam family "Bacterial small subunit ribosomal RNA", at positions 338 to 795 of the family's 1533-position model. The record is from RNAcentral.
CCUACGGGUGGCAGCAGUGAGGAAUAUUGGUCAAUGGGCGAGAGCCUGAACCAGCCAAGUCGCGUGAGGGAGUACUGCCCUAUGGGUUGUAAACCUCUUUUGUCGGGGAGAAAAAGCCGGACGUGUCCGGCUGUGAGAGUACCCGAAGAAAAAGCAUCGGCUAACUCCGUGCCAGCAGCCGCGGUAAUACGGAGGAUGCGAGCGUUAUCCGGAUUUAUUGGGUUUAAAGGGUGCGCAGGCGGAUUUUUAAGUCAGCGGUAAAAUCGUGGGGCUCAACCCCAUCCAGCCGUUGAAACUGGGGAUCUAGAGUGUGCGAGAGGUAUGCGGAAUGCGUGGUGUAGCGGUGAAAUGCAUAGAUAUCACGCAGAACCCCGAUUGCGAAGGCAGCAUACCGGUGCACAACUGACGCUCAGGCACGAAAGCGUGGGUAUCGAACAGGAUUAGAUACCCCUGUAGUC